Molecule: transfer RNA, 61 nt
Filed under: Ogadenus brumpti
Lineage: Eukaryota; Metazoa; Arthropoda; Arachnida; Ixodida; Argasidae
Description: Argas brumpti tRNA-Leu
Source: RNAcentral
AUUAAAGUGGCAGAUUAUGCAAAGGAUUUAAGCUCCUUCUAUGAAGCCUUUUCCUUUAAUA